UACGUAGGGGGCAAGCGUUGUCCGGAUUUAUUGGGCGUAAAGAGCGUGUAGGCGGACAAGCAGGUCCGCUGUGAAAACUCGAGGCUCAACCUCGAGAGGUCGGUGGAAACCGUUUGGCUAGAGUCCGGAAGAGGAGAGUGGAAUUCCCGGUGUAGCGGUGAAAUGCGCAGAUAUCGGGAAGAACACGCGUGGCGAAGGCGGCUCUCUGGGACGGUACUGACGCUGAGACGCGAAAGCGUGGGGAGCGAACAGG
This 253-nucleotide ribosomal RNA is filed under the name uncultured bacterium. RNAcentral describes it as "partial 16S ribosomal RNA". It matches the Rfam family "Bacterial small subunit ribosomal RNA", at positions 524 to 776 of the family's 1533-position model. The record is from RNAcentral.